RNAcentral lists this ribosomal RNA (626 nucleotides) under Candida tropicalis. RNAcentral describes it as "eukaryotic LSU rRNA". It matches the Rfam family "Eukaryotic large subunit ribosomal RNA", at positions 24 to 670 of the family's 3401-position model. Lineage: Eukaryota; Fungi; Ascomycota; Pichiomycetes; Serinales; Debaryomycetaceae. The record is from RNAcentral.
GUCCGUGUUUGGCAUUUCAAAAGCGGAGGAAAAGAAACCAACAGGGAUUGCCUUAGUAGCGGCGAGUGAAGCGGCAAAAGCUCAAAUUUGAAAUCUGGCUCUUUCAGAGUCCGAGUUGUAAUUUGAAGAAGGUAUCUUUGGGUCUGGCUCUUGUCUAUGUUUCUUGGAACAGAACGUCACAGAGGGUGAGAAUCCCGUGCGAUGAGAUGAUCCAGGCCUAUGUAAAGUUCCUUCGAAGAGUCGAGUUGUUUGGGAAUGCAGCUCUAAGUGGGUGGUAAAUUCCAUCUAAAGCUAAAUAUUGGCGAGAGACCGAUAGCGAACAAGUACAGUGAUGGAAAGAUGAAAAGAACUUUGAAAAGAGAGUGAAAAAGUACGUGAAAUUGUUGAAAGGGAAGGGCUUGAGAUCAGACUUGGUAUUUUGUAUGUUACUUCUUCGGGGGUGGCCUCUACAGUUUAUCGGGCCAGCAUCAGUUUGGGCGGUAGGAGAAUUGCGUUGGAAUGUGGCACGGCUUCGGUUGUGUGUUAUAGCCUUCGUCGAUACUGCCAGCCUAGACUGAGGACUGCGGUUUAUACCUAGGAUGUUGGCAUAAUGAUCUUAAGUCGCCCGUCUUGAAACACGGACCAAC